Molecule: long non-coding RNA, 269 nt
Filed under: Elaeis guineensis (African oil palm)
Lineage: Eukaryota; Viridiplantae; Streptophyta; Magnoliopsida; Arecales; Arecaceae
Description: long non-coding RNA (EGUI_LNC040821)
Source: RNAcentral
GGGUCUCGCACCUCAAAUUCGCCUUUGACUUGCCCCACGAUCAGCUGGGAGUCAGAGAAGACUCUGAGGCUGUCGAUCCCGAGCUUCUUCACUACUUUCAAGCCAGCGAGGAGCGCUUCAUACUCGACUUGAUUAUUGGAGGCUUUGAAGUCAAACCGGAGGGCGUACUUGGUGACCACUCCUUCUGAGUUGGUGAGCAGGAACCCGGCCCCACUCCCUUGAGCGUUGGAAGCUCCAUUGAUGUGCAACACCCAGGUGGACCCGGGGUC